This is a long non-coding RNA of Anthonomus grandis grandis, 1206 nucleotides long. RefSeq lists it as uncharacterized. NCBI's taxonomy places the organism in Eukaryota, Metazoa, Arthropoda, Insecta, Coleoptera, Curculionidae. The record is from RefSeq and is a predicted model, not a curated record. The transcript has 3 exons.
AUGUAUAAAAUAAACUUAAAAUACAAACAUUAUCACUCUUAGCCUCUUAAAAAAUUAAAUUAAGACACUUGCACUAUUUCAUAAUUUUUUAGAGUUUGUGAUCGAGAUUCACAGCCUUUACGCUGUUAAAAAUUGAUUUAAUGGGUCAAUAAUAGUAGACUAUUUUACCGACUGUGACAAAUGUCAAUUAUUUUAGUUCGGUUAGACCGCAACCGUACGCUGCAAUCGAGUUUAGGGUAAAGAUGGUGCCCACUUGUCACUAUGGGAUUGAACCCUCUCAUACUUUUAAUUACUCUAUGAACUAAUAGUAUCCUUAGCCAUGCCGCAGCCAUGUUCUCUGGAUGCCGAGCUCACUGUUUAUCGAACUACUAUUCAUAGGUGUAUCGCCUAGUUCAGCGCCGUACUUAGUGACUAUUUUGAUAGCGUUUUUACAAAGCGUAGCGUUUUUUAUAAAAACUUUUGUAUGUUUGUUUUGUGAUUUUGAUUAAAAUGGCUACAGAAUCGUGGGGAAUGAGUCGUUGUGCGGCUGUUUUAUGUAAGAACAAUUCAAAUAAUUGUGAUUUGAGUUUUUUUAGAUUUCCGAGAGAAUGAGAAGGGCAAGAAUUUGGGCAAUUGCUUCUGGCAGAAGAUUUGAUAAUAAAGGAGAACCUCCAUACUCUUUCUUAUAAAAUUUGUGGGAGGCAUUUUGAAAACAAGAUGUUUCUAAACGAUUUACACAACAGACUACAUAAAAAUACAGUGCCCACUUUAUUCGCAGCGCUAGAAGGCACAUCUUCAGAUUCAACCAGAAAAAUAUGCUAAGAUUUAGAUGAAGCUUUUCCGCAUUCAUCCGAUGUGACCUCUGUUAUAACUUUUUCUCCAACGCUAGAAGACACAUCUUUGAAUUCAACGAAAGAAUUAUGUCAAGAUGAAACUUUACCACAAUCUUCCGAUGUAGCUUCUGUAGGUACUUUGUUUCCUGCACUAGAAAGCACAUCUUCGCAUUCAACCAAAGAAUUAUGCCAAGGUAAACAUUUUGAAAAAUAUUUACAUCCGGUAUUUGUAACUAACGUUAUUCAUUUUAUUCAGAUUUAGUUAAAACCUUCCCACAUUCAUCUGAUGAUUCAUCUGGCUUCUGUUAGUAGAUCUUGUCUCGUUACUGCGCAAUCCCACCAAACUCAAUUCAAGAGACAAAAAAGUUUAAUUUGUAUAAUCCACAGAACAUAA